RNAcentral lists this transfer RNA (70 nucleotides) under Limnius volckmari. RNAcentral describes it as "tRNA-Asn". Lineage: Eukaryota; Metazoa; Arthropoda; Insecta; Coleoptera; Elmidae. The record is from RNAcentral.
UCAAUUAAAGCCAAAAAGAGGCAUACCACUGUUAAUGGUAUUACUGGGUACAUCUUUGACCCUAAUUGAG